This is a long non-coding RNA of Heterocephalus glaber (naked mole-rat), 3438 nucleotides long. Lineage: Eukaryota; Metazoa; Chordata; Mammalia; Rodentia; Bathyergidae. The record is from Ensembl.
CUUCAAGCUACAGGAGUGUUGGAGUAUCUCAGAGGUGGGCUUUCUCAGCUGCCCAGGACUCAGUGCACCUAGUGCACCCAGCCCACCUCAGACCAGGGCCCCACCCUGUGGAUCGGAGCUCCCACCUGCUCCCUGAACCAAAGCGCCUAGAUGAGAGAAGGAGCCAAUUAGUCCAAACUGCAGACUUCACACUGCCACCAUGGAGGCUGGCUUUAUGGGCUCAGAGCACUGCACUUGACAACCUCCCUUCCCCUUGACUGUCUUUAAGCACACAAUAGGAGUGGUUUGAGCACCAGGCAGUAAGCACACAUUUAAGCAGUGUCAUUAAGUGUUAGGGGUCUGAUUGCCCCUCAGAUCUGUUUAGUGAGUGCUUUACAGAGCUAGCUCAGACAAGAACACUCUUGGGGAAUUUCAGGGAAUUGGGCUGGGCCCCAAACUCAACCUGAAACCUCAGGGAGGGUGUUCCACCUCUCUCUGGCCACAAAGUAGGGUUAUGGAUGGAAUGUUUCUGUCCCCCUAAAUUCGUAUGUUGAAGUCCUCACCUGUAGUGUGCCUGUACUGGAGAUAGGCUUUCUCAGGAAGUGAAUAGGUUACAUGAGGUCAUAAGGUGGGGCCCUGAUCUGACAGGAUUAGUGUCCUGUGAGAGCUGCCUCUCUGCCUGCCCAUAUGGGGAGAGCCAGCGAGGAGGCUGACUCCCCUGAAGACACCAGCCUGGCCACAUCCUGACUUCAGGCUUCCCACCUCCAGAGUCAUGGGAGAUAAAUGUCCCAGCUGCUCUGUCUGUGGCCCCUGUUAUGACAGCCCAAGCUGAUUAGUACAGAGAAGAGGCAAUGCUUCUGACCAAAGAUUCUAGAGCUCUCAUGGGACCGGGCUUCAUGGCCCAUUGCAGGAGAGCCAGCAUAAGAGUUGCCUUGAGCCAAGGAGAGCAACCCCUUCCACCUAGCUUGGGGAGGGGUCUACACAAUCCUGGGUGCUAAGAAGUCAUGCUGGUCACUGAAUUGUCAUAGCUGCCCCCUCACCCUCAGGCCACAUGGGGCCAGCCUACAGGACAAGUUCAGCAGGACUGCUGGAAGUCCACCCCAGGAGAUGGUGAGGCAGAUGAGACCUAGGUUGGAGGUGGGAGGGAGGCAUACAUGUCCCCAGUCCACAAAGGAAGCUGGAGCAGACAGUGGUAGCCUUGUCCAGGGGUGCUGUGAUCCUGGGCAGGCUCUUGUGUGCCUCGGAGGCUUAAUGCCAACACUAUAAAUGUCAGAGAUGGAAGAGAGUAUGGUACCAUUGCCUUCAGCUUGUCAGCGGGAAAGGAAGUGACCAGAGAACAACCUUACCACACUGUGAUCGUGGAGCCAACUUUUGGCCACAUGACACUCUGGCCACUGUCCUUCUUUUGGGGGGUCAGAGGGGCGAUGGGAGACCAGAGGCCAAACUCAGAACAUGUGUGGUGGGCAGGCUGGCAUAGGGCAGGAUAGGAAUAAGGUUGCAGGGCUAGGUUUUGGCUCCUGAGGGCCACGGCUGGCAGAUGUGAGGCAGAGCGAAGGUAUGUACUUCUGUGCACAGUAGCUGUCAGCCUCCAGACCCAGCUGAGCCUCAGCCAACUGCUUCUUACACCUUGGCGAUGGGAGACACCCUCAGGACAACCGGUCCCAGGAACAAGGGUGAUGCAGAAUCAUUGAGAGAGGAAGACGAAGGGUGCAUACCUGGCUGUACCCUCCACCGGCUGAUCCUCAAUCAAGAGGAGCCACAGAUGGGACCCUUGAAGCCUUUGUCAAAAGUGCCACUUACUUGUGAGUAAGUCUCACUCACAAAGACCCUGUGAGUUUCAAUCUCCCCAUCCCUUGGAGGUCUCCGGAUGGUGUGCACCUGCCAUUGGGCCAGCAGGAGACAGGAAGCAAGGUGCCUGGCCUGCACACAAGCUGUUCUACCUGCACCACCACAGCCCUGAACCCUGUCUUGCUGGCCAGUGUCCCCACCCAUAGCAGCUGUCUUUAUCUGCAGCAGGUCCACCGAAGCCUUAAGAUGUUACUGUUCUGACAUGUCUUGGGAAAGGCAGGGGCUUCAGCAGGAGGAGCUGGGCAUGCUUGGGCUCCAUGGUCAGGCGCCUCCUUUGGACCUGGCUGUUUAGGAGGCCACCUGUCACCAAAGCAUCAUACUUCCUGCAUUCAUUCACGCAUUCAUUCCUGAGCAGACCCUGACCAGUGAGAAGAGGCCUCAGGUGGGCAGGGCCAUCAGGAGACAGUCGAGUCAGGACAGGUGGAGCUGAGGUGGAGGUGCGCUGGCCAGGAAGAGCACUGAAUCUUGGGGUUACCCUGAAACCCCAAAGCCAGGGCAGGGAUCUGACCCUCAGCAUCUUCUCUCUGUCUGUCUCCCCCACCCCACCCCUCUGCCUUCUUCUGGUUCUCCUUACUCCCCAGAGCUCCUCUCCCAAGGCCUCUGUGGGGAUUGAAUUAUGUGCAUGUUCACCCCAGGAACUUGCACCUUCCCCUUAUUUGCCAAAAAGAGUAGAAUUAUUUUAUUUGGCGAAAGAUGUGAUUAAGUCAUGGAUGUUUUCAGGACAUUGUCCUGGAUCAUCUGGGUGGACCCUAAAUGCCAUAACACGGAUGCUUAAAACAAGAGGGCAGAGGCGAUUUUGAGACACAGAGAGAGAGAGACUAAGAGGAGAGAUGAGGAGGAGGAAGGGGUAGGAGGAAGAGGACAGAGGGAGAUGCGAACGCAGCUGCAGAGGGCCAGCUGGACCCUGGCUGGAGGGGGCGAGGCCUGUCCUCCCCUAAGCUGGCAAGUAGUAAAUGUGAGGUAGUAAAUGCCUGUGCUUGAAGCCCCUGACUUGUGCUGUUUUGUGCUAACAGUCACAGGAAACUAGUGGAGUCUCAGAUACCAAGGUAUAGGCAGAGCCAGAAGCUCUGGAAAAAUGGCAUGGGACCUUCUUCACCUUUCUAGAGGCAGAGGGCACUGAGCUAGGAGAUGUUAUGGCUCAAGCACUAGGCAGUGAUCAGUUGACCUCUGGUGGGGAGGGGAUGGAUUUCUAUCAGGAAUCAGCAUCAGCCUCUGGGCUGAGAGCACAAAGGAACUAAGCAAUGGCACAGACAUCCUGAUCCAGGCCCCAAGACCCUAAAACCCUAAGUGGGGCAUUCAGCAGCUCAUUAAGAUUGCUCAGGAGUAGGGGACAGGGCUAGAGGUGGUGAAAAUCUAAGGUUUCCUAGCCUUGCAGGCCAGAGAUGUGGAUGGAGAUAUAAUGAACAUGGAGAUAGAAAAAAGUAGGACCAGAGUGUCUCCUACAAUGGGGUGCAGCCUGCCCAGGACCUAGGCUGCUCCAUUAGCAGCCCGGCAUUUUGGUUUACUUGCAUCUGUUUCACAGGAGCCCAGGACAGUUGGGGCAUGCAUUGAUGAAGGUGAUGAUGCUGGUGAUGACAGCGGUUGUUCGGUGAUGAUAAAGGCAGUGGUACU